GAUGAACGCUGGCGGCGUGCCUAAUACAUGCAAGUCGAGCGAACGGACGAGAAGCUUGCUUCUCUGAUGUUAGCGGCGGACGGGUGAGUAACACGUGGAUAACCUACCUAUAAGACUGGGAUAACUUCGGGAAACCGGAGCUAAUACCGGAUAAUAUUUUGAACCGCAUGGUUCAAAAGUGAAAGACGGUCUUGCUGUCACUUAUAGAUGGAUCCGCGCUGCAUUAGCUAGUUGGUAAGGCAACGGCUUACCAAGGCAACGAUGCAUAGCCGACCUGAGAGGGUGAUCGGCCACACUGGAACUGAGACACGGUCCAGACUCCUACGGGAGGCAGCAGUAGGGAAUCUUCCGCAAUGGGCGAAAGUCUGACGGAGCAACGCCGCGUGAGUGAUGAAGGUCUUCGGAUCGUAAAACUCUGUUAUUAGGGAAGAACAUAUGUGUAAGUAACUGUGCACAUCUUGACGGUACCUAAUCAGAAAGCCACGGCUAACUACGUG
This 497-nucleotide ribosomal RNA is filed under the name uncultured bacterium. Its description in RNAcentral is "partial 16S ribosomal RNA". It matches the Rfam family "Bacterial small subunit ribosomal RNA", at positions 28 to 507 of the family's 1533-position model. The record is from RNAcentral.